RNAcentral lists this ribosomal RNA (465 nucleotides) under uncultured Alphaproteobacteria bacterium. Its description in RNAcentral is "bacterial SSU rRNA". It matches the Rfam family "Bacterial small subunit ribosomal RNA", at positions 9 to 523 of the family's 1533-position model. The record is from RNAcentral. Lineage: Bacteria; Pseudomonadati; Pseudomonadota; Alphaproteobacteria.
GAGUUUGAUCAUGGCUCAGAACGAACGCUGGCGGCAGGCUUAACACAUGCAAGUCGAGCGCUGUAGCAAUACAGAGCGGCGCACGGGAGAGUAAUACGUGGGAACCUACCUUUUGGUUCGGAAUAACGUCGGGAAACUGACGCUAAUACCGGAUAAGCCCUUACGGGGAAAGAUUUAUCGCCGAUAGAUGGGCCCACGUUGGAUUAGCUAGUUGGUGAGGUAACGGCUCACCAAGGCAACGAUCCAUAGCUGGUCUGAGAGGAUGAUCAGCCUCACUGGGACUGAGACACGGCCCAGACUCCUACGGGAGGCAGCAGUGGGGAAUAUUGGACAAUGGGGGCAACCCUGAUCCAGCCAUGCCGCGUGAGUGAUGAAGGCCUUCGGUUGUAAAGCUCUUUGCAGGGACGAUGAUGACGGUACCCUGAGAAUAAGCUCCGGCUAACUUCGUGCCAGCAGCCGCCGUAA